UCAAUAAGCGGAGGAAAAGAAACUAACAAGGAUUCCCCUAGUAACGGCGAGUGAAGAGGGAAGAGCCCAAGAUUGAAAGCUGGCGUCUUCGGCGUCCGCAUUGUAAUCUCAAGAAGUGUUUUCCGCUUUGGACCGAGCCUAAGUCCCUUGGAAAAGGGCAUCAUAGAGGGUGAGAAUCCCGUACAUGGCUUGGAGUGCCCAAGGCUUUGUGAUACACUUUCCAAGAGUCGAGUUGUUUGGGAAUGCAGCUCAAAAUGGGUGGUAAAUGCCAUCUAAGGCUAAAUAUUGGGGAGAGACCGAUAGCGAACAAGUACCGUGAGGGAAAGAUGAAAAGAACUUUGAAAAGAGAGUUAAACAGUACGUGAAAUUGCCAAAAGGGAAGGGUAGGAGGUCAGAGAUGCGGUCUGGGAUUCAGCCUUGCUUUUGCUUGGUGUUUUUCCCAGUUUGCAGGCCAACGUCGGUUUUGGGCACUGGAGAAGGGUAGGAGGAACGUGGCACCCCUCGGGGUGUGUUAUAGCCUCCUACUGGAUACAGCGACUGAGACCGAGGACAGCAGCGUACUCGCAAGAGCGGGCCUUCGGGCACCUUUACGCUUAGGGCGUUGGCAUAAUGGCCCUCUACCACCCGUCUUGAAACACGGA
Molecule: ribosomal RNA, 641 nt
Filed under: Cintractia cf. limitata MP 1310
Lineage: Eukaryota; Fungi; Basidiomycota; Ustilaginomycetes; Ustilaginales; Ustilaginaceae
Description: LSU rRNA
Rfam family: Eukaryotic large subunit ribosomal RNA
Source: RNAcentral